AAAGCCCAAUAUGGGUGGGUUUACCAUCAGCCGCCUGAAACCAUGCUGUUUCAAAGUCAUGCACUAAACCGAAAAACGUACAUGCGUUAGCUGGCUUCUAUACCACAAAGGUAAAAUAAAAUAAAAUAAAAUAAAACGCAACAUGCCCCGUUCCAAGACCACCUCUGCUGCCAGAGCUGACAUAUCUGACUCCUGUUCCUCCUCCACCCUACACCCCACCCGGCACUUCCCAUGAUUGUUGCAGCUCGUCACUUUAUGAUCAAGUGAGCCAGUGCCCACAGCGACUCUGCCAAGUAAUCGUGACUGUGCCUGCCUUAGGUCGUCCCGGGUGUCAAGGUGGGAUCUUACCCGUCGUUGGCUAACCAGCCUUCCAUACUGGCUCGCUGCAGGAUGCCGUACCUGGGAUACGAUCAAUCCCCACCUAUAUGGUGGUGUAGAUCGCAAGGUGGAGGGAUGGAGACAGAGUCUUCUGCCGCUUCUGCCCUAUGCAGCGUGUGUGUGCGUAAAAGAUACACCUCAGGGAAACUAUAAAACAAAAAGUCAUUUAUCAGAGUUAAAAUUAUUAAAGUGUUGCAGCAGCAGUAGUGGCAUUUGAAAGGUAAACCCACUAUUUCCGAAUCCAAAUUGACAACAUAGCAUGUAGGAUCCCUUCCCAGCAGAUGUAGCGCUAAUCCCCGUCAUCCUUGACCAAAGAGAUUUACCCUAUAUUUUAAUUGGUGUAGUCCUACUUGUACAGUUUAUCAAGAUUACGUUUUUACUUUAUGUAUAUAUUUUUAAUUAUUAUCCUCAUCUUUAUCAUCCCAUAUUUAUUCAAUUAUUCUUUCCUGUGUGAAAAUAAUAAUAAUCACUUAGUUAAUAGCAACACCUUCUUUAGUCCAAUUGCAUUAGAUUAUCAUUACUGUUGUCCUAGGAAGACAAAAAACAAAAUAAAAACUAAACUUAAAGAAAAACAAAUUAGCCACAAUGUGAAUAUCCACUGCGUGUCUUCCUGUGACUCUCUCCCUCCUUCAGGAGAACACGCUCUCUCUCCCUCCUCACCUCGGGGUGCUGUUUGGUGCAAGACAACAGAUAAGGGUGGAAUGUGGCUUCUCUCUCUCUGCGUGUCUCCCUCCCACUUUGGGUGCGGCCAUAACGCCUUGAAGAGAGCGUGCUCCGGGGGCUGGGUGUGGGAGAACCCAGUGGCAGUUCCUUUUCUCGGCCAGCAGAGGGGUUGUUCAGGUGAAACCUAUGGACAGAGACUACAAAGAACUUCAAACAUGGCAGACGGGGAACUACAAAUUUAUCAAAGCCUGAAAACUCAACAGAGCUCUACCUGUAUUCCUUGGAUAUGUGGUAUUUUAUGGCGUAUGGCCACCACACGCUUUCAGUUGAACACACUCUCUACGGGGAACUACAAAUUUAUCAAAGCCUGAAAACUCAACAGAGCUCUACCUGUAUUCCUUGGAUAUGUGGUAUUUUAUGGCGUAUGGCCACCACACGCUUUCAGUUGAACACACUCUCUAUUUCCUUUCUCUGUACUGUGUGUUAGUGUGUCUCUCUGUACUGCCUUAAUGGUGUAGGUCGACAAAUGGGGGUGGUCGGGGUUGUGGACGCCCGUGCACUGAAGGCCGGGUGCGGGGAGGUUUGUCUUUUUAGCUUUAUUAGUAACUGGGAUAAUUCUUCUAGCAGGGGGUGAUCAAGAGUCGGGGUUGGAUUGGUAUUGAUGCUGUCCAGUAGGGGGCGGUGUAGUUGGGGAAGGGUAAGGUUGGAGUUGUCCAGCAGGGGGCGGUGUAGUUGGGGAAGGGUAGAGUUGGAGUGGUCCAGCAGGGGGCAGUCUAGUUGGGGAAGGGUAAGGUUGGAGUGGUCCAGCAGGGGGCGCUGUAGUUGGGGAAGGGUAAGGUUGGAGUGGUCCAGCAGGGGGCAGUCUAGUUGGGGAAGGGUAGAGUUGGAGUGGACCAACUUUGGCGGAGGGGGAGGUGUGGCUUGGGACUGAGUGAGAGAACUCAAAAAAUGGCGGCCGUGAUGCUAUAACUCUGUGUGGCCUGUCUAACACACGAGAGCGGAUGAGAGACUAGGGGGUAACUCUUGUCACUCUUGGAGGAGGAGAACGAGAAAAAGGAGGAAAAAACAGGGGGGAGGGAAGCAAAAAACAACAACAGGGCCUAAAGACGUUAUUCAAUACAUCCAGAUAUUCUUCAUCGCCAAUAAUCGUUAUCUAUCUUUAUUGAUUAAUCUGGUUCAACAGACUAAACCGUCAACCAACACGGCAAAGAGAUGUUGUUUAGUAUCAUAGUUUAUCAAUGCGACAGGUCCGGCAGUAAUUCAAAGAAACACAGAGAAAAAAGAGAUAUCAUUUAUCCUUGUCAACUUGUCUAGGUCUAGUUUCAAUGGUUCAAACAGUAAAUUGAAGCGACACAGUAAAAAAAGGUUAUUUAUCAUUGUCAAUUUAUCUAUUUCCGCAGGUUACGCCAUAGAGCAACGCAAUACGUCAGAGAGACAUUUAUUCAUUAUUAUCAAUCUAUCUAUUCCUACAUUUACCCGUUUUAACGGACAAAGAUAGAGCGGAUCACGCAUACACACCCACUGAUUCACUCACAGAUUCCCUCUUUCUCGCAGACGCACACAGAAACAUAUCGACAGACUUCUCAUUCUGUGUCCCGCACCCACAAUCAUUAGACACGGCAAAAUAGCGUUAAGCAUAGCAAAGCAGGCAAGCGUUGCACACAUAGCCGGGUUAUCACUGAUUGAUUUAUUUCCAUAUUUCAGCCAGCCCAAAAUUACGCUCGCUCUCUUUCUUUCUCUCACACACACUGUCUCUCGUUCACUCGCGCAUACACACGCUGUCUCUCUUUCACUCGCGCAUACACACGCUGUCUCUCUUUCACUCGCACAUAUUUCAGCCGGCCCAAAAAUACGCUCGCUCUCUUUCUUUCUCUCACACACACACACACUGUCUCUCGUUCACUCGCGCAUACACACGCUGUCUCUCUUCCACUCGCGCAUACACACGCCGUCUCUUUUUGCAAAGGGACUUUAACCCUGAUAAAGGACUCCAACCUUCUCACCACAUAGAAUUAUUUAAUACACAUCCAAUACUCGGCCAUCGGUAGUCUUGUAUCACUAUGACCGAUUCUUAUAGGCCCUAGGGUCUCGAGGGUAUUUUUCCACCAUGCAACGAGCCUAGUUUUUUCCUCUGGUUCCACCCUCGGUCCAGGCAUCCCUCUGGGUCCACUCUAUGGCCCAGGUAUUUAUUAUUCCCUCUGGUUCCCCCCUCGGGCCAGGCAUCCCUCUGGGUCCACUCUAUGGCCCAGGUAUUUAUUAUUCCCUCUGGUUCCACCCUCGGUCCAGGCAUCCUUCUGAGUCCACUCUGUGGCUCAGGCAUUUAUUAUUCCCUCUGGUUCCCCCCUCGGGCCAGGCAUCCCUCUGGGUCCACUCUAUGGCCCAGGUAUUUAUUAUUCCCUCUGGUUCCACCCUCGGUCCAGGCAUCCUUCUGAGUCCACUCUGUGGCUCAGGCAUUUAUUAUUCCCUCUGGUUCCCCCCUCGGGCCAGGCAUCCCUCUGGGUCCACUCUAUGGCCCAGGUAUUUAUUAUUCCCUCUGGUUCCACCCUCGGUCCAGGCAUCCUUCUGAGUCCACUCUGUGGCCCAGGCAUUUAUUACUUUGGCCAUCGGUAGUCUUGUAUCACUAUGACCGAUUCUUAUAGGCCCUAUGGUCUCGAGGGUAUUCUUUCACCAUGCAACGAGCCGAUAUUCGAUGUGUCACGCAUUCAGGGUUUUAUGGGGAAAUGCUGGGGUGCAGUCCUAUUAGUCCCCACGAGAUAUCCCGUAGCGAACCGUUCUCACAGUCUCACCUCCUAAUGUGGUUCCUAUAUAACUAUGCAGAGUUUGGAUUUUAUCAACAGGUUCUGCCUACCUUUUGUUGGGCGGCCGCGAGGUGAGACUGCAGGAAUCGGUCCGGUGCUCCGGGGUCCCGAGGCCGUGCCGCUCUCCGUCUCUCGUUUCCCAGUUGCGGUCCAAUUCAGAAAAAAUCACGUUGUGGGUCACCAAAUUGAAGGGAAAAACGGUCUGUCUAGUUACUGGACCAGAUGAAAUGAGACGGAGAGGUAAUAAAGUCUGUCGGCACGAGGACCUUGGAUUUAUUAAGUAAAGUGGCAACGGUUAUACAGAGUCAUAAGCGUGAGAAAUCGAAUAUGUCUAAGUCCCUAAUCAGCGCUGAUGGUUCGUCCGGAGCUUCGCCUCCGUGGAAGGUCUGCUUCAGAAGAAGGUGAAGAGUCUCAGAGUGAUACAGUCUUAUGCUGUAUCUCCUUGUGAUGAGGUGUGUGCGUUUGAGAUGUGUGUGGUUCUGUGUGUUUUUACUUGACCUUGGCUCCCAGGCACUAGUGUAUGCAUGCAUAUCUUCUUGUGUUCCUCCUCACGGGGGAGAGCUUCAGAGCAUCUCCUGUUGUGGUCCUCCCGUUCUUGAGGAUGACUGGUGCAUUGUCUGAGUGUCUACCAUCUGCCAGCCUGGGAAAUGGGGCCUUCGGCUCCGGCCUUGACCUGACUAUAUUCUCAUGUAUGUGUUAUGUGUUAAAAGUUGACUAUAUUGUAAGGUGACUGCCAUGUGAUGUGCUCAUUAAGCUAGGGUAGGAGUUAGCUAUAUUUAUAAUGUACAUGUAAUGUACUCAGCAGGUUAUUUUGCCCAACACUUUCAGUAAUCG
Long non-coding RNA from Gadus morhua (Atlantic cod), 4673 nucleotides. The record is from Ensembl. NCBI's taxonomy places the organism in Eukaryota, Metazoa, Chordata, Actinopteri, Gadiformes, Gadidae.